Molecule: ribosomal RNA, 255 nt
Filed under: uncultured bacterium
Lineage: Bacteria
Description: partial 16S ribosomal RNA
Rfam family: Bacterial small subunit ribosomal RNA
Source: RNAcentral
UACGUAGGGUGCGAGCGUUAAUCGGAAUUACUGGGCGUAAAGCGUGCGCAGGCGGUUUUGUAAGUCAGAUGUGAAAUCCCCGGGCUCAACCUGGGAACUGCGUUUGAAACUACAAGGCUAGAGUGUAGCAGAGGGGGGUAGAAUUCCACGUGUAGCAGUGAAAUGCGUAGAGAUGUGGAGGAAUACCAAUGGCGAAGGCAGCCCCCUGGGUUAACACUGACGCUCAUGCCACGAAAGCGUGGGGAGCAAACGAGG